ACUCCUACGGGAGGCAGCAGUAGGGAAUCUUCCACAAUGGGCGCAAGCCUGAUGAAGCAACACCGCGUGAGUGAAGAAGGGUUUCGGCUCGUAAAGCUCUGUUGUUAAAGAAGAACACGUAUGAGAGUAACUGUUCAUACGUUGACGGUAUUUAACCAGAAAGUCACGGCUAACUACGUGCCAGCAGCCGCGGUAAUACGUAGGUGGCAAGCGUUAUCCGGAUUUAUUGGGCGUAAAGAGAGUGCAGGCGGUUUUCUAAGUCUGAUGUGAAAGCCUUCGGCUUAACCGGAGAAGUGCAUCGGAAACUGGAUAACUUGAGUGCAGAAGAGGGUAGUGGAACUCCAUGUGUAGCGGUGGAAUGCGUAGAUAUAUGGAAGAACACCAGUGGCGAAGGCGGCUACCUGGUCUGCAACUGACGCUGAGACUCGAAAGCAUGGGUAGCGAACAGGAUUAGAUACCCUGGUAGGAUAGCG
RNAcentral lists this ribosomal RNA (473 nucleotides) under uncultured bacterium. RNAcentral describes it as "bacterial SSU rRNA". It matches the Rfam family "Bacterial small subunit ribosomal RNA", at positions 335 to 801 of the family's 1533-position model. The record is from RNAcentral.